AACGCUGGCGGCAUGCUUANNCNUGCAAGUCGAACGGUAACAGGAGAGAGCUUGCUCUCUUGCUGACGAGUGGCGGACGGGUGAGUAAUACAUGGGAAUCUGCCCUGAGGUGGGGGAUAACCCGGGGAAACUCGGGCUAAUACCGCAUGAUCUCUUCGGAGCAAAGUGGGGGACCUUCGGGCCUCACGCCUUGGGAUGGGCCCAUGUCUGAUUAGCUAGUUGGUGGGGUAAAGGCCUACCAAGGCAACGAUCAGUAGCCGGCCUGAGAGGGUGUACGGCCACACUGGGACUGAGACACGGCCCAGACUCCUACGGGAGGCAGCAGUGGGGAAUAUUGGACAAUGGGGGCAACCCUGAUCCAGCAAUGCCGCGUGUGUGAAGAAGGCCUGCGGGUUGUAAAGCACUUUUAUCGGGGAAGAAUAGGUUGUCGUUAAUAGCGCCAACACUUGACAUUACCCGUUGAAUAAGCACCGGCUAACUCCGUGCCAGCAGCCGCGGUAAUACGGAGGGUGCGAGCGUUAAUCGGAAUUACUGGGCGUAAAGGGUGCGUAGGCGGAAGCUUAAGUCUGAUGUGAAAGCCCCGGGCUUAACCUGGGAAUGGCAUUGGAAACUGGGUUUCUAGAGUGUGGUAGAGGAUAGUGGAAUUUCCAGUGUAGCGNUGAAAUGCGUAGAUAUUGGAAAGAGC
Molecule: ribosomal RNA, 685 nt
Filed under: uncultured bacterium
Lineage: Bacteria
Description: bacterial SSU rRNA
Rfam family: Bacterial small subunit ribosomal RNA
Source: RNAcentral